Long non-coding RNA from Homo sapiens (human), 776 nucleotides. Ensembl annotates it as MIR4307 host gene. The record is from Ensembl. Lineage: Eukaryota; Metazoa; Chordata; Mammalia; Primates; Hominidae.
AGAGUCCACAUAUGUUCGGGGGAGGGACCCCAGAAGGCGGCUGACAGUAUUCCUUUAGCCAGAAAUCCCUUCAGGGAAGAGAAAGGUGCUCCCCUUUGCCUGCUUUUAUACUACAGACUGUUUCCAACUCCAGCUAGAAGUGACUAUUGCCGAUUAUGCUAAUCAGUGGCGACAAGCUCCCUUUGACUGCUCACUUCUCCAGUGAGGCUUCAAGCUUCUAGGCAUCAAGAUUAGUAAGGCUGUCUUCUGGUUUUGAAAACAACUAGAUUGCCCAUCUCCAUUUCUCUCUAUCAUCUACUGUAUUAUUCUAUGGACAACUGCCACCCUAAUAAGCAAUUGUCAGCAUCUUUGCCACAUGUUUGGAGGCCUGAUAUCAGUUUGUCACCAUGUACUGUAUUUUUCCUGUCUGGUUGGGAGCAGAGAGCAGGUGCUUGGAAAUCCUGCUCUCAUCCAUUCUCCACACAUGACUGGUCUAUGUUCAGCUGAAUUAUGGUGAAUAUCACUUGAGAACUGCUGUAGUAACUGCACUUCAAGACCUGCCUGUAAUCUUGCCCUGCUAUUUGAUAUUCAUUCAGCAAAGCACAUAAAUGAAAUUAUUAAAACUAUUUAAGGACUCAGAUAUGCUCAUAUCAUCUUCAAGACUUAUCAUCUUAUUAUAAUACAUGAGAAAUCAGCGUAAUUCUGAAGAAGUUAAGCUUGACCCAGAGUUUGGAACACAAUUGAAAUACCUAAUUGAUGGUUUGUUAUUAAACUAUCAAUUAAAUGUAUUUUUACAU